This 340-nucleotide long non-coding RNA is filed under the name Vigna radiata. Its description in RNAcentral is "long non-coding RNA (VRAD_LNC014159)". Lineage: Eukaryota; Viridiplantae; Streptophyta; Magnoliopsida; Fabales; Fabaceae. The record is from RNAcentral.
CAUGCAUCCGUAUAGUGGUCACUAGAAGGACAUAUAGCACACAGUCGUGCAAGAGAUGUAGAUGAAGGUGUUGGUCUCUGGUUGGAUGCCAAUUGUGUCACCAAACUCACAAGAGAAUCAAGCUUGCUUUCCAAUUUCCUACCAGCAGCUGUUGAAGACUGGGAAAGCUCAUGAAAUUGCAGCUGCUGUGGUUCCUGGACAGGUGGAGAAGGCAUACAAGAAUUCUGGAAUGGCUCCUGAUAUUGAUGCUGUGAAGUACCAUACCAUCCCAAGUUAGGAUCAGUCCCCCUAGGAUCGUCGCUAUAACCAUACCGCACAUGGGAGAAUUUGUCUAGAAACU